GCCGGUUUGGCUCAGUGGAUAGAGCGUCAGCCUGUGGACUGAAAGAUACCAGGUUUGAUUCCGGUCAAGGGCA
This is a non-coding RNA of Myotis davidii, 73 nucleotides long. The record is from Rfam. Lineage: Eukaryota; Metazoa; Chordata; Mammalia; Chiroptera; Vespertilionidae.